CCUACGGGAGGCUGCAGUAGGGAAUAUUGCUCAAUGGGGGCAACCCUGAUGCAGCAACGCCGCGUGGAGGAUGAAGGCUUUCGGAUUGUAAACUCCUUUUGUUAGAGAAGAUAGUGACGGUAUCUAUAGCAUAAUCACCUGCUAACUCCGUGCCAGCAGCCGCGGGAAUACGGCGGGUGGAAGCGUUCUGCGGAAUCACUGGGCGUAAAGAGCGCGUAGGCGGGUUAGCAAGUCAGAUGUGAAAGCCUAUGGCUUAAACAUAGAAAUGCAAUUGAAACUUUUAUACUCGGGUUUGGGUGAGGUAGGGGGAAUUCGUGGUGGAGGCGGUAAAUGCGGAGAGAACAAGAAGAAAACUCAUUGCGAAGGCGGGCUCCCAGAACAUAAAUGACGGUGAUGCGCGAAAGCGGGGGGAGCAAACAGGAUUAGAAACCCGUGUAGUC
This 440-nucleotide ribosomal RNA is filed under the name uncultured bacterium. RNAcentral's name for it is "partial 16S ribosomal RNA". It matches the Rfam family "Bacterial small subunit ribosomal RNA", at positions 338 to 795 of the family's 1533-position model. The record is from RNAcentral.